GACGAACGCUGGCGGCGUGCUUAACACAUGCAAGUCGAACGGAAAGGCCCUGCUUUUGUGGGGUGCUCGAGUGGCGAACGGGUGAGUAACACGUGAGAAGCCUGCCCUUGACUUUGGGAUAACUUCAGGAAACUGGGGAUAAUACCGGAUAGGAGCUCCUGCUGCAUGGGGGGGGUUGGAAAGUUUCGGCGGUUGGGGAUGGACUCGCGGCUUAUCAGCUUGUUGGUGGGGUAGUGGCUUACCAAGGCUUUGACGGGUAGCCGGCCUGAGAGGGUGACCGGCCACAUUGGGACUGAGAUACGGCCCAGACUCCUACGGGAGGCAGCGGUGGGAAGUAUUGCACAAUGGGCGGAAGCCUGAUGCAGCAACGCCGCGUGCGGGAUGACGGCCUUCGGGUUGUAAACCGCUUUCGCCUGUGACGAAGCGUGAGUGACGGUAAUGGGUAAAGAAGCACCGGCUAACUACGUG
RNAcentral lists this ribosomal RNA (468 nucleotides) under uncultured bacterium. RNAcentral describes it as "partial 16S ribosomal RNA". It matches the Rfam family "Bacterial small subunit ribosomal RNA", at positions 28 to 507 of the family's 1533-position model. The record is from RNAcentral.